Molecule: ribosomal RNA, 253 nt
Filed under: uncultured bacterium
Lineage: Bacteria
Description: partial 16S ribosomal RNA
Rfam family: Bacterial small subunit ribosomal RNA
Source: RNAcentral
UACGUAGGGUGCAAGCGUUGUCCGGAAUUAUUGGGCGUAAAGAGCUCGUAGGCGGUCUGUCGCGUCGGCUGUGAAAUCCCGAGGCUCAACCUCGGGUCUGCAGUCGAUACGGGCGGACUGGAGUUCGGCAGGGGAGACUGGAAUUCCUGGUGUAGCGGUGAAAUGCGCAGAUAUCAGGAGGAACACCGGUGGCGAAGGCGGCUCUCUGGGCCUUACCUGACGCUGAGGAGCGAAAGCGUGGGUAGCGAACAGG